CGGCCGUAUGGGGAAUGCCUAGGCUCUCAGAGGCGAUGAAGGACGUGGUAAGCUGCGAUAAGCUGCGGGGAUUGGUUAACACAAAUUGAUCCGCAGAUUUCCGAAUGGGGCAACCCACUUUAGUGAAGCUAAAGUAUCUUUAAUUAUAAUAAAGAAGCAAACCCAGAGAACUGAAACAUCUAAGUAUCUGGAGGAAGAGAAAACAAUAGUGAUUUCGUAAGUAGCGGCGAGCGAACGCGAAAGAGCCCAAACCAUAGCCGUUUCGGCGGUUAUGGGGUUGUAGGACUGGCAUAAUUCACCUAUAAGAGAACUCAAAUUACUCUGCAGAAAGGUAAGCCAUAGAAGGUGAUAGCCCUGUCGAGGUAAUCUGAUAGGUGAAAGUCAGUAUCCUGAGUAGGUUGGAACAGGAGAAAUUCCGACUGAAUCUGCCAGCACCAUCUGGUAAGGCUAAAUACUACUGAGAGACCGAUAGUGAACUAGUACCGUAAGGGAAAGGUGAAAAGAACCCUGAAUAAGGGAGUUAAAAGACCUGAAACCAUACGCUUGCAAGCGGUCGGAGUACUAUUUUAUAUAGUAUGACGGCGUGCCUUUUGCAUAAUGAGCCUACGAGUUAGUCUUUGUUGGCAAGGUUAAUCCUUUUGAAAGGAGUAGCCGAAGCGAAAGCGAGUCUUAAUAGGGCGAAUUAGUCAGCAGAGCUAGACGCGAAACUUGGUGAUCUACCCAUGGCCAGGGUGAAGCUUUGGUAAAGCAAAGUGGAGGCCCGAACCAGUAGCAGUUGAAAAUGCUUUGGAUGAGCUGUGGGUAGGGGUGAAAGGCCAAUCAAACCAAGAGAUAGCUCGUACACUCCGAAAUGCUUUUAGGAGCAGCGUUAGUUAAUAGACUAAUAGAGGUAGAGCUACCGAUAGGAGUGGGGGGAGUCAAAUCCUACCCUCUCCAGACGAACUCCGAAUGCUAUUAGUUGUUUGCUAGCAGUGAGGGCUAGGGUGCUAAGGUCCUAGUCCGAGAGGGAAACAACCCAGACCAUCUGCUAAGGUCCCCAAAUAUAGACUAAGUUGAACUAAGGAGGUUCAGCUACUUAGACAGCCAGGAUGUUGGCUUGGAAGCAGCCAUUCAUUUAAAGAGUGCGUAACAGCUCACUGGUCAAGUGGCAGAGCGCCGAUGAUAAACGGGCAUUAAGUCUAUUACCGAAGCAAUGGCUUAGCUACUUUGUAGCUAGGGGUAGGAGUGCAUUCUAAUAGAGUCGAAGCUAUGUGGUGACGCAUAGUGCAUUUAUUAGAAAAGAAAAUGUAGGCAUAAGUAACGAUAAUGACGGCGAGAAACCGUCACACCGAAAGACUAAGGUUUCCACGGCCAUGCUAGUCAUCCGUGGGUUAGUCGGGACCUAAGUUGAAGCCAAAUGGCGUAGACGAUGGAAAAUCGGUUAAUAUUCCGAUACUAACUUGUUAUAGAGAAGGGGGGACAGAGCAGUGAAAGGUCUGCCUGGUGACGAAUUACCAGGUUGAAGCCAGUAGGUAUAGGUUUGAGUAGCAAAUCUCUCAAGCCUGCCGAAGGUGAUAGUACUACAAUCUUUCGGGAGCGUAGAUAAUGACCCUAACCAUACUCUCAAGAAAAGCCUCUAAUCGUUUAAAUAGCAAGCUACUCGUACCGCAAACCGACACAGGUAGUCGAGGAGAGAAUCCUAAGGUGUUCGAGUGAGUCGUGGCUAAGGAACUAGGCAAAAUAGCCCUGUAACUUCGGGAGAAAGGGUGCCUCGCUAGGUACUUUCGGGUACUUAGCAGGUCGCAGUGAAAAGAUCCAGGCGACUGUUUAACAAAAACACAUGGCUUUGCAAAAUCGAAAGAUAAAGUAUAAGGCCUGAUACCUGCCCGGUGCUGGAAGGUUAAUUGGAGGUGUUAUACCCUUGGGUAGAAGCACUAAAAAGAAGCCCCAGUAAACGGCGGCUGUAACUAUAACGGUCCUAAGGUAGCGAAAUUCCUUGUCGGGUAAGUUCCGACCUGCACGAAUGGUGUAACGAUCUGGGCACUGUCUCGGCCACGAGCUCGGUGAAAUUGUAGUAGCGGUGAAGAUGCCGCUUACCCGCAACGGGACGAAAAGACCCCGUGCACCUUUACUAUAGCUUCGCAUUGGUAUUUAGUAAAUAAUGUGUAGGAUAGGUGGAAGACUAUGAAGUCGUGUCGCUAGGCAUGGUGGAGUCAACCUUGAAAUACCACCCUUUAUUUAUUGGAUAUCUAACUCCCAAAAGGGAGGACCCUGCGUGGUGGGUAGUUUGACUGGGGAGGUCGCCUCCAAAAAAGUAACGGAGGCUUUCAAAGGUAUCCUCAACACGAUUGGUAACCGUGUGUAGAGUGCAAUAGCAUAAGGAUGCUUGACUGUGAGACCUACAAGUCGAGCAGCAUCGAAAGAUGGAUAUAGUGAUCCGGUGGUUUCCGCAUGGAAGGGCCAUCGCUCAAAGGAUAAAAGGUACGCCGGGGAUAACAGGCUUAUCUCCCCCAAGAGCUCAAAUCGACGGGGAGGUUUGGCACCUCGAUGUCGGCUCGUCACAUCCUGGAGCUGGAGAAGGUUCCAAGGGUUGGGCUGUUCGCCCAUUAAAGUGGCACGCGAGCUGGGUUCAGAACGUCGUGAGACAGUUCGGUCUCUAUCUGUUGUGGGCGUUAGAAACUUGAGAAGACUUAAUCCUAGUACGAGAGGACCGGAUUGAAUCAACCUCUAGUGUACCAGUUGUGACGUCAGUUGCACCGCUGGGUAGCUACGUUGGUAAGAGAUAAGCACUGAAAGCAUAUAAGUGCGAAGCUCGCUUCAAGAUGAGGUUUCU
This 2812-nucleotide ribosomal RNA is filed under the name Globobulimina sp. RNAcentral's name for it is "bacterial LSU rRNA". It matches the Rfam family "Bacterial large subunit ribosomal RNA". Lineage: Eukaryota; Foraminifera; Rotaliida; Buliminidae. The record is from RNAcentral.